UGAGCAAUCUGCCCUUCUCUUCGGAAUAAGCGUUGGAAACGACGUCUAAUGCCGAAUACGACCUCCUUUCGCAUGAUCGGAGGUGGAAAGCUCCGGCGGAGAAGGAUGAGCUCGCGGCCUAUCAGCUAGUUGGUGUGGGUAAUGGCCCACCAAGGCGACGACGGGUAGCCGGCCUGAGGAGGGUGAUCGGCCACAUUGGAACUGAGACACGGUCCAGACUUCCGUACGGGAGCAG
RNAcentral lists this ribosomal RNA (235 nucleotides) under uncultured bacterium. RNAcentral describes it as "partial 16S ribosomal RNA". It matches the Rfam family "Bacterial small subunit ribosomal RNA", at positions 118 to 347 of the family's 1533-position model. The record is from RNAcentral.